GGGAGGUGUAGGGGACAGUGGAGACGUGCCAAGUCGGUGGGCCUGCACGACCCCUGCAGCAGCCGCCACGAGGGGUUCCGACGCUCAGCUUUCUUGGCCGGGCCCGACUGGGAGUUGCUGGAUGCCCCCGUGAGCAGCUAAGAUGGUCCCUGCGAGUCAGUGCUUUACUCAUGAAGGUCGGAGACGCAAGGGAGCAGCACGUUGUCCAGCCCCUUUCUCAUGCAGAUGGGGAAACUGAGGCCCAGAGUGAGUCAGUUCUCCUGAUUCUACGUGCUUGCCAAAUUACUCUUUACUUAAACGUUUCAAACAGACUUUUCAAAUGUCUUGUCCUGUGUCGUCGGCUGCACACCAUGUUAAGCCUGCUGGCCUUGGGCCUGCCACGCCCCUGGCCCUGUGCAUACAGGGCCUGCAGCACUGAACAAGACUCCAACAGCCGGCCAGUUUGUUCAGACAGGAAGUGGCAGACGGAUCCAGGAGGGAAGAAAAGUCAUUUAAGGACACUCAGAACGUGGAUGCACAGGAUGGCGAGAGAUGCUCCUAAAGAAAGCUAUCAGUACCAGAAUCCAAGAAACAGAAAAAAUCUGUGUCGUUUUGGAAGUCUUCCCCAUCUCUGCAAGGUAAUUUCUUCUGACUGAUCUUUCAGUUCACUAAUUCUCUAUCUUCCGGUAUUGAGCUCUCCCCGCUGCCGUCUCUGUCGCGUCCCCUGCUCUCUGUUGCUUCCCAG
Molecule: long non-coding RNA, 724 nt
Filed under: Equus caballus (horse)
Lineage: Eukaryota; Metazoa; Chordata; Mammalia; Perissodactyla; Equidae
Description: lncRNA (ENSECAG00000034154.3)
Source: RNAcentral